RNAcentral lists this ribosomal RNA (438 nucleotides) under uncultured bacterium. Its description in RNAcentral is "partial 16S ribosomal RNA". It matches the Rfam family "Bacterial small subunit ribosomal RNA", at positions 339 to 795 of the family's 1533-position model. The record is from RNAcentral.
CUACGGGCGGCACCAGUGAGGAAUAUUGCACAAUGGGGGAACCCUGAUGCAGCAACGCCGCGUGGAGGAUGACGCAUUUCGGUGUGUAAACUCCUUUUAUAUGUCAAGAAAAUGACGGUAGCAUAUGAAUAAGCACCGGCUAACUCCGUGCCAGCAGCCGCGGUAAUACGGAGGGUGCAAGCGUUACUCGGAAUCACUGGGCGUAAAGGACGCGUAGGCGGGUUGGAAAGUCAGGUGUGAAAUCCUACAGCUUAACUGUAGAACUGCACUUGAAACUUCUAAUCUAGAGUAUGGGAGGGGGAGACGGAAUUAGUGGUGUAGGGGUAAAAUCCGUAGAUAUCACUAGGAAUACCUAAAGCGAAGGCGAUCUCCUGGAACAUUACUGACGCUAAGGCGUGAAAGUGUGGGGAGCAAACAGGAUUAGAUACCCCUGUAGUC